CGGUUGUGCGUUUAAAUGGGUGUGGUGCUAAGUAUAUCUUGUUUACCUUAUCUUUCUUUGGAAAACGUUUUGAAGUCUGGUUGGAUUUGUCACAUCAUGCCUGUUGCCUAGCACUGCCACAGAUGUCCUUAUCUCACAACAAAAGACUGCAUAGGUGGAGGUUAAUGCUCAGG
Echinops telfairi (small Madagascar hedgehog) is the source of this 173-nucleotide non-coding RNA. NCBI's taxonomy places the organism in Eukaryota, Metazoa, Chordata, Mammalia, Afrosoricida, Tenrecidae. The record is from Rfam.